GUGAGCAGUCGGUAAGAGACAUUACGACUCACGGAUUUCCGAAUGGGGAAACCCACUCAGCAUAAGCUGGGUAUCGCUACGUGAAUACAUAGCGUAGCGAGGCGAACCGGGAGAACUGAAACAUCUAAGUACCCCGAGGAAAAGAAAUCAACCGAGAUUCCCUCAGUAGCGGCGAGCGAACGGGGAUUAGCCCUUAAGCAUCUUGGAAGUUAGUGGAACGGUCC
RNAcentral lists this ribosomal RNA (224 nucleotides) under Bacillus pumilus. Its description in RNAcentral is "partial 23S ribosomal RNA". It matches the Rfam family "Bacterial large subunit ribosomal RNA", at positions 78 to 308 of the family's 2925-position model. The record is from RNAcentral. Lineage: Bacteria; Bacillati; Bacillota; Bacilli; Caryophanales; Bacillaceae.